Molecule: ribosomal RNA, 292 nt
Filed under: uncultured bacterium
Lineage: Bacteria
Description: partial 16S ribosomal RNA
Rfam family: Bacterial small subunit ribosomal RNA
Source: RNAcentral
GUGUCAGCAGCCGCGGUAAUACGUAGGGUGCAAGCGUUAAUCGGAAUUACUGGGCGUAAAGCGUACGCAGGCGGCUUUGCAAGACAGGUGUGAAAUCCCCGGGCCUAACCUGGGAACUGCAUUUGUGACUGCAUAGCUAGAGUUUGUCAGAGGGGGGUGGAAUUCCACGUGUAGCAGUGAAAUGCGUAGAUAUGUGGAGGAACACCGAUGGCGAAGGCAGCCCCCUGGGAUGUGACUGACGCUCAUGUACGAAAGCGUGGGGAGCAAACAGGAUUAGAAACCCGGGUAGUCC